UUUUUCUUUUAUUUGAUUGCCCCGUUAUUAUUUAUUUAUUUAUUGAUUUAUGCUUUCUGUUUGUAUGCACUAAAAUUUUGAUUUAAUGAGUAAAACCCUUGAGCAAUUAUAUUGAUUUAUGAUGUAUUUGGUGCUUAAAAGGAUUGAAAACCUCGGAAGACAUGUUAGGGCACCAAAGGAGAUAAGAAAAGUUUAUUUGGAAACAUGACUAUGCUGACGAGAAAUUGAUAGGAAGUAAAUGGACAACAAUUUAAACCAAUAAAUUCUUCCUACUGGUGUGAACCUAUGAAGAACAACAAUUGAGUAUAUAUGCAGCAAAUAAUCACCAUAAUAGGCUGCUCAAAAGAUGUAUAAAUCAAUCACACAAGAACAAGGUAAUUUUUUACAUGGAAAACUCCUUCAAUGUGAAAGAUAAAAA
Molecule: unclassified non-coding RNA, 418 nt
Filed under: Hevea brasiliensis (rubber tree)
Lineage: Eukaryota; Viridiplantae; Streptophyta; Magnoliopsida; Malpighiales; Euphorbiaceae
Source: RNAcentral